CAGCUGUAAACUAUGUGCGUUAGGUGUGUCAGUGACCACGUGUCACUGAGGUGCCGAAGGGAAACCGUGAAACGCACCGCCUGGGGAGUACGGUCGCAAGGCUGAAACUUAAAGGAAUUGGCGGGGAGCACCACAACGGGUGGAGCCUGCGGUUUAAUCGGACUCAACGCCGGGAAUCUCACCGGAUAAGACAGCUGAAUGAUAGUCAGGAUGAAGACUCUACUUGACUAGCUGAGAGGUGGUGCAUGGCGUAGACGUCU
RNAcentral lists this ribosomal RNA (260 nucleotides) under uncultured archaeon. RNAcentral's name for it is "partial 16S ribosomal RNA". It matches the Rfam family "Archaeal small subunit ribosomal RNA", at positions 748 to 1009 of the family's 1478-position model. The record is from RNAcentral.